Molecule: long non-coding RNA, 1117 nt
Filed under: Callithrix jacchus (white-tufted-ear marmoset)
Lineage: Eukaryota; Metazoa; Chordata; Mammalia; Primates; Cebidae
Description: lncRNA (ENSCJAG00000085228.1)
Source: RNAcentral
AAAGAAAAAGGGGGAUCUCCUGUUGGACGCACAGGGCAUUUAGACUGACCUCUCCAAACAAUCGUAUUCUAGAGCAGAGCUCAGGAAUACAAGAGUUUGAAAUUCAAGCCUGGUCUUCCAGGUGGUUAUAAGAUAUAUUGAUCAAGUUAGCAAUAUAGAACACAUUUAACACUUGGUUCUAUUGGUUCCUAGUUUUGAAAUGUUAGACAUGUGAUAUGUUUGCCUCCAUUCAUAUGGGCAAACUUUUGCCUUGGUCCCUGGAAAUGCAACAGGUGGCCCUCCUGAAGCUACUGUAAUCUGGCUUAUUCACCUCUAUCUUGCAACCCUUAUUGUUAAGGUUAUUGAUAGUCUUUUUCUGGUUCUGUCCUUUUGACAGCUGACCAAUCCCUCCUCAAAACUCUCCUCUCUCAGUAUCACGUGACCAUCCCAGUUUUCUCCCUUUUUCUCUGUAAUUUCCUAUGUGUCUUUCUUGGGUACUUAUUAUGUCAUCAGUCAUGAAAAUAGAAUUUCCCAGAAUUCUGUUUUUGGAGAUGACCACCACAGACCUCUCUCCUAGUGAAAUCUUUCUAGAUACUUUCUAGAUCACAGUAUCUGAUCAUAUUCUGAUACUGUGGAACUCUACAGUGGCUCCUCAUGAUGCCCUGCCAUAUAAAUUCCCACUCUUCUCAUGAAUUGAGGGAUAUAUGAUCAUCUGCUGUUUCUUUAGCCUCAUCUGCUACUCCCUCUCCAUAUGCAUCCAACUCCAUUCAAACUGCAGCUCCCUGAGACCAUUUUCUUGCCUGGGCUGUUACCCAGGGGUUUCUUUUGCCUGGAAUAUGCUUCCCUCCAUUGUCUGUCUGGGCUGAUGUGCGAACAGACUGGAACCAGGAAACCAGAAAGAAGUCUGUCUGAUCAGCCAAGCAAGAGAUGAGGAGUAGCACAUCAUAGAGCCAGGGAGGAAAGAGGAGAAAAGGAAGACCCUGGAACAGAUAGAUACAAGAUAACUUUGUGAGGAGGAACUGGCCAGCCUCAAUGAGAUUCCAUGCAGCAGAUAAGGUGGAGACAGGUGUCUUUAUUAGAUGAUACUGUGAACCAAAAUACAGAAGAAACAUUAUGGAAGGUAGUUUUCUGGAGAACA